This 211-nucleotide transfer-messenger RNA is filed under the name Thiothrix lacustris. RNAcentral describes it as "partial transfer-messenger RNA". It matches the Rfam family "transfer-messenger RNA", at positions 158 to 374 of the family's 374-position model. Rfam says of the family: Bacterial tmRNA, also known as 10Sa RNA or SsrA, is named for its dual tRNA and mRNA-like properties. Lineage: Bacteria; Pseudomonadati; Pseudomonadota; Gammaproteobacteria; Thiotrichales; Thiotrichaceae. The record is from RNAcentral.
GUGCUUAUGCAGUACGAAUAUUCAGGCAUCAUCCAAUCAUAAGAUCGUGCGGGAGGCUCGCCCAAGGCCAAACCACUAAACAGUAUUGGGACAGCCUGUGAGCAGCCUGUCAGUUGGCGGCAAUCGGGUUAAACAAACGACUGACUAAACAUGUAGUAGCCUUCAGAUGGAGGAUUUGCGGACGCGGGUUCAAUUCCCGCCGCCUCCACCA